Molecule: long non-coding RNA, 871 nt
Organism: Stegodyphus dumicola
Lineage: Eukaryota; Metazoa; Arthropoda; Arachnida; Araneae; Eresidae
Source: RefSeq, a predicted model, not a curated record
UGGUUAUUUUGCCAGAACCUGGAUCAUACUUGGAAAGGUAUUUUGCAAAAAGAAAGGCAACACUUGGUGGCAUAACUUGAGGGGUGUGGUCCACAAACAUUAUUUUAAAGGGGUUACUCAUGUGGAAGAAUAAUGACAUUCAAAGUUGUCAUAUGGAAUUAAAUUGAGAACACAUACCGUUUAAUCUAGAUAAAAUGUUUAAAGAAUAGUAGGCUGAGUUGAUUUUAAAAUUGUUUCCUAUUCAUCUUUUUAGUUUUCCAUUGUAAAAGAAUCCUGCAAAAAUCCUAAACCUCUUACUGAAACUUUCUGUGCAUUGACUGAACCAGUUUUCCAUUGUAAAAGAAUCCUGCAAAAAUCCUAAACCUCUUACUGAAACUUUCUGUGCAUUGACUGAACCAGGGGCGGCAAUCUCUGGAAAGUACGCGGGCAGCCAAUGGCCUAGGAACAGCCCUGAUGACGAUAUAUGAAACGGAACGUCUAACAGUGCUUGGAUAGCCGCCUUAUGUCUUUGCUGUGGGGACGCAUAGGAUCUAUCUAAGAAAAUCCUUCUUUGAUUCGGUAUCGUAUGAUGAAGAACAAGUCAGUCCUACUAAAAAGAUGGACUUUUGCAUCGUAUCGAACAUACACUGACGACAUAUCAGAAACCCUCCGACCAACAUUAAGUGGAUUAAACUCAGUUUAAUCCACUCAAUGCUGAUCUACGUAGCAGUAGUUACUGCCCACUACCUUUUAAUGUCCAGCAUUUUAUUAUUGUCGAAUUUAUUAAAAAACAUUUAUGAAAAUAUGUGGUAAAAUUUCAGAGGGAUCCAAUGAUGUCACUAGUUUUCUGUUAUUUCCGUUUUGAAAUUUAAAUAAAUGGACAUUUCUAAUA